GACCAUGCAGCGCAAUGGAUAUCGCGUCUUCCUACGGAGCAAAAGAUUGCAGGUUUGAAUCCUGCCGUGGUCG
This 73-nucleotide transfer RNA is filed under the name Angiostrongylus costaricensis. It matches the Rfam family "tRNA". Rfam says of the family: Transfer RNA (tRNA) molecules are approximately 80 nucleotides in length. Lineage: Eukaryota; Metazoa; Nematoda; Chromadorea; Rhabditida; Metastrongylidae. The record is from Rfam by way of RNAcentral.